Molecule: ribosomal RNA, 254 nt
Filed under: uncultured bacterium
Lineage: Bacteria
Description: partial 16S ribosomal RNA
Rfam family: Bacterial small subunit ribosomal RNA
Source: RNAcentral
UACGGGGGGGGUAAGCGUUGUUCGGAAUUACUGGGCGUAAAGGGCUCGUAGGCGGCCAACUAAGUCAUACGUGAAAUCCCUCAGCUUAACUGGGGAACUGCGUGUGAUACUGGAUGGCUUGGAUUUGGGAGAGGGAUGCGGAAUUCCAGGUGUAGCGGUGAAAUGCGUAGAUAUCUGGAGGAACACCGGUGGCGAAGGCGGCAUCCUGGACCAAUAUUGACGCUGAGUGAGCGAAAGCCAGGGGAGCAAACGGG